UCGGUGAACUUCAAUAAACAUCAUGCCAUUAAUUUUAUUUACCUUUAUGUCUCCGUGUUACCCAGCACUUAUCAUCAGGGUAUUUGUUGAAUCACAGGCUAUGCCAACAACUUCUCCAUCAUGAGCAGAUCUUCCUCUUGAUGAUAUGUCCACAUAACUGCCUCAACUUAUGCCUGAUUGAAUCGCUCAAUCCAGUCAGCUGUUGUCCCCAAAACAGCGAAAUUGCCACAUGCACUAAUGGUGCAGGCCUAUCAUGAUAUACAAAGUAUAUUAUCAAUUGCAUAAUUCAAAUGUAACACAGAGAAAUUAUGAACUAGGAAAAUAAUGUGCCUCAAGGUUCCAAACCCAGGGUACGGACUUGGGCCAUGAGGCCCAAGAAAUGGAUAGAAAGCAUAGCAAGUUGCUUUCCUCAUUGGUGACAAUAUUUGUGAUGAUCAUAUCCCAAAAACAGCAAGUAUUUCCUCCUUGAUUUGCCUUGGAAUGAAAUAUAAAGGUACAGUGCAACCCUUGAAAUCAUUCUACUAAAGCAAUGCGAGUGUGUGCCAUUCUAUAUGACUGAAUAGACUGAGCUAUUACCUCAUACCCUCAUAAAAUCUUAAGACAUGAAUGUCACUUCAAUAUAUUACAAAAUGUCACCUUCUAAUCCCAGGUUCUAUUACCUUUAUAUCUUCAGUACAUACAAAUAAUGAUUAUUACAUCAUUUAUUUAGUACAACAAUACAUUUGUGACUUAUACGUCACAACAAAUAUAAAUAAAAUUAACAUGUAAUCUGCUAAUCAAAUACUUGAUCUCUUCCUUAAUCUUCACCGGAUUCUACAGUUCGUUUUAGCUUUGCUGAAAAUGUUUUAUUUAAAACAAGAGUGAGCAUUCAAUUGCUCAACAAGUAUAACAGUUGAAUAAUCAAUCAACACAUAAUGAAUAUUGACAUAUUCUCUAAAAUUUCAACAACUGAACAAUAGUUGAAAACAACUUUGAAUAAAUAGGAACAACUUCCUCAAAUAUAACGCUUUUGAAACGACAUAUUGACCCAUCCUCAAGACCUUAACAUUUCUCUCCGUUCUUCCUUAAAUCUGACAUCUCCUGUGUCUACUUCAUUAUUAUGGCACAACCUGUGUCUACUCCACAAUUAUAACACAACAUGUGUCUAGUUCAU
Molecule: long non-coding RNA, 1153 nt
Filed under: Panax ginseng (ginseng)
Lineage: Eukaryota; Viridiplantae; Streptophyta; Magnoliopsida; Apiales; Araliaceae
Description: long non-coding RNA (PGIN_LNC003552)
Source: RNAcentral